GUGUUCCUUUAACUUUCUCUCGGCACUUUCUCUCUCGGGGGAGGGGGGGACACAAAGGUAUACAUCUCGGCCUUCUCUUCUCAACUAGAAACUGAUCGGUGGUCGUGGCCUCUCUUUGUUGACCACCGGUCUCCGCCGCAAAUCGCAAACACCUUGGUCUUCGGCCUGACCACUGUUAUUUCCCUCUCCUCUCGGUAAGAAGGAUGUACAUUCAAGCUGCAUCGUGAAGAGAAAACAAAAGGGUGUGUGAUCGCUAAGUCGAGCAGCUCGUUUCAGGUUGAUUGCUACGGACCUUGCUCCAUUCUAGGCUUCUAUGUCAUCACUACGUCCCUGUCAGUCACUUAUCAAGCUACAUUUUGGGUAUAUGCAUGUUUUGAUAGACUGUAACACGUCCCGAUUUGACUUUGUGUCUUGGGUUUUUGAUGUGUAGUGAUUUGUCUAUAGCUUAUGGGCAUAUUGACAUGGAAAUGUAUAAUCCCUAAACUUUUGAAUAUUAAUUUUUGCAUGAAUCGUGUUAGUUGGUACA
Molecule: long non-coding RNA, 526 nt
Organism: Salvia hispanica
Lineage: Eukaryota; Viridiplantae; Streptophyta; Magnoliopsida; Lamiales; Lamiaceae
Source: RefSeq, a predicted model, not a curated record